Molecule: unclassified non-coding RNA, 351 nt
Filed under: soil metagenome
Description: partial contains 5.8S ribosomal RNA, internal transcribed spacer 2, and large subunit ribosomal RNA
Rfam family: 5.8S ribosomal RNA (bases 1-120)
Source: RNAcentral
GAUGAAGAACGUAGCGAAAUGCGAUAAGUAAUGUGAAUUGCAGAAUUCAGUGAAUCAUCGAAUCUUUGAACGCACAUUGCGCCCCUCGGUAUUCCGGGGGGCAUGCCUGUCCGAGCGUCGUUUCAACCCUCGAGCCCCCGUGGCCCGGCGUUGGGGAUCUGCCACGGCAGGCCCCUAAAACCAGUGGCGGACCCGAAGGCCCUCUCCUUUGCGCAGUAGCAUCAGCCUCGCAUUGGGAUCCCUCGGCGUCCUGCCUCUAAACCCCCCACAAGUCCGCUCCGGCGGCACCAAGGUUGACCUCGGAUCAGGUAGGAAUACCCGCUGAACUUAAGCAUAUCAAUAAGCGGAGGA